CCAAUAGCGUAUAUUAAAGUUGUUGCAGUUAAAAAGCUCGUAGUUGAAUUUCGGGAUUGACACAUCGGUCGUGCCUUAAGGGGUAUGAACUGGUGUAGUCAGUUUCUCACCUUCUGGAGAACCGCGAUGUCCUUAAUUGGGUGCCGCGAGGAACCAGGACCUUUACUUUGAAAAAAUUAGAGUGUUUAAAGCAGGCAUUU
Molecule: ribosomal RNA, 200 nt
Filed under: uncultured Glomus
Lineage: Eukaryota; Fungi; Glomeromycota; Glomeromycetes; Glomerales; Glomeraceae
Also listed under: 1 other name
Description: partial small subunit ribosomal RNA
Rfam family: Eukaryotic small subunit ribosomal RNA
Source: RNAcentral